GACCUGGCUGGGCGGUCCGCUUAACGGCGUGUACUGUUCGGCUGGGCCUUACCUCUUGGUGAGCCGGCGUGCCCUUUAUUGGUGUGCGUCGGGGAACCAGGACUUUUACCUUGAGAAAAUUAGAGUGUUCAAAGCAGGCCUAUGCCUGAAUACAUUAGCAUGGAAUAAUAAAAUAGGACGUGUGGUUCUAUUUUGUUGGUCUUUUAGAGCUGCCGUA
Molecule: ribosomal RNA, 217 nt
Filed under: uncultured fungus
Lineage: Eukaryota; Fungi
Description: partial small subunit ribosomal RNA
Rfam family: Eukaryotic small subunit ribosomal RNA (bases 92-217)
Source: RNAcentral